Molecule: long non-coding RNA, 451 nt
Filed under: Lathyrus oleraceus (garden pea)
Lineage: Eukaryota; Viridiplantae; Streptophyta; Magnoliopsida; Fabales; Fabaceae
Description: Pisum sativum (pea) long non-coding RNA (PSAT_LNC006224)
Source: RNAcentral
UUGGUUUAGGUAGGGUAUGAAAUUGGAACAAGGGUUUUUUUUUUCUUUUUUUUUCUUUUGGGUUGUAACGGGGUUUUGGUUUAGGUAGGCUAUGAAAUUUGAACAAAGGUUUUUGGUUCAGAGUACAUGAAAUCAUUCUCUCACUACGUUUCUUUUCUAUUAUUCCUGUAGGGUUAUGCAGUCCUCUUUUCCUUUUAUCUAUAGUGAAUGUAGCAUCUUUCAAAAGUUGUUCUUUUAUUGUUUUUCACUUUUCUCUUUCUUUAUUUUCAUGUUGUUGUUGUUUUUUUUUUCUUUUUUCUCUUUUCUUUUUUUUCUCUUUUUUUUUUAUACGACAUUUACUUACUAUUCAUGUACUGCAAAGCUACCCCAAACUUAAAGGUUGCUAUUCCAACAGCAACCCCAAACUUAGAUAGAAACGUAGAGAUGAAAUUAAUUCUCACAUACUCUGAAC